RNAcentral lists this ribosomal RNA (774 nucleotides) under uncultured Neocallimastigales. RNAcentral's name for it is "partial large subunit ribosomal RNA". It matches the Rfam family "Eukaryotic large subunit ribosomal RNA", at positions 22 to 639 of the family's 3401-position model. The record is from RNAcentral. Lineage: Eukaryota; Fungi; Neocallimastigomycota; Neocallimastigomycetes; Neocallimastigales.
GUACACGCUGUGACUAGCAUAUCAAUAAGCGGAGGAAAAGAAACUAACAAGGAUUCCCCUAGUAACGGCGAGUGAAGCGGGAAGAGCUCAAAUUUGAAAUCUUAAAGGGUUUCCCUUUACGAAUUGUAGUUUAAAGAAGUGUUUUCUGUUGAGGUUUUGGUAAAAGUUCUUUGGAAUAGGACAUCAUAGAGGGUGAGAAUCCCGUAUUUGACCUUUACUUUCAACUUUGUGAUACACUUUCAAAGAGUCGGAUUGUUUGGGAAUGCAGUCCAAAAUGGGUGGUAAAUUUCAUCUAAAGCUAAAUAUUGGCGAGAGACCGAUAGCGAACAAGUACCGUGAGGGAAAGAUGAAAAGAACUUUGAAAAGAGAGUUAAACAGUACGUGAAAUUGUCAAAAGGGAAGCGUUUGACACCAGUGUUGUUUUUCUGAAAAUCUAUUAAAGAACUGUUUAUGCUAAGCUGUUUAGACUUUAUCAGCUAACUGUUUAGUUUUGAGCUUUUCUUUAAUGCACUUUUCAGUUAACAAGUCAACAUCAAUUUCUUUUGCUGUAAAAAAGCUUGAGGAAGGUGGCUUGAGAUUCGUCUUAAGUGUUUAUAGCCUCUUGCCUAUGCAGUCGGAGAGAUUGAGGUCUGCAGCGUAGAUCCUUCGGGGCUAAAUGCAUUUGUGCUAAGUUAUAGCAUUUUAUAGACAACUUGUUGACUAUGAUUUGUCUUGUAGCUUACUCGCUUAUGUUAUUUUACCUACGCUUAGGAUGUUGACGCGCGUGUGUGCGUG